AGUGAACGCUGGCGGUAGGCCUAACACAUGCAAGUCGAACGGCAGCACAGUAAGAGCUUGCUCUUACGGGUGGCGAGUGGCGGACGGGUGAGGAAUACAUCGGAAUCUACUUUUUCGUGGGGGAUAACGUAGGGAAACUUACGCUAAUACCGCAUACGACCUACGGGUGAAAGCAGGGGAUCUUCGGACCUUGCGCGAUUGAAUGAGCCGAUGUCGGAUUAGCUAGUUGGCGGGGUAAAGGCCCACCAAGGCGACGAUCCGUAGCUGGUCUGAGAGGAUGAUCAGCCACACUGGAACUGAGACACGGUCCAGACUCCUACGGGAGGCAGAAGUGGGGAAUAUUGGACAAUGGGCGCAAGCCUGAUCCAGCCAUACCGCGUGGGUGAAGAAGGCCUUCGGGUUGUAAAGCCCUCUUGUUGGGAAAGAAAAGCAGCAGGUUAAUACCCCGCUGUUCUGACGGUACCCAAAGAAUAAGCACCGGCUAACUUCGUG
This 492-nucleotide ribosomal RNA is filed under the name uncultured bacterium. RNAcentral's name for it is "partial 16S ribosomal RNA". It matches the Rfam family "Bacterial small subunit ribosomal RNA", at positions 29 to 507 of the family's 1533-position model. The record is from RNAcentral.